GGCGUGGUAGCUCAGCCGGUUAGAGCGUGCGACUCAUAAUCGCAAGGUCGAGAGUUCGAGUCUCUCCCACGCCA
RNAcentral lists this transfer RNA (74 nucleotides) under Bacteroidota bacterium. RNAcentral's name for it is "Bacteroidetes bacterium tRNA-Met". It matches the Rfam family "tRNA". From Rfam's summary of the family: Transfer RNA (tRNA) molecules are approximately 80 nucleotides in length. Their secondary structure includes four short double-helical elements and three loops (D, anti-codon, and T loops). The record is from RNAcentral. Lineage: Bacteria; Pseudomonadati; Bacteroidota. RNAcentral also lists the same sequence under 2 other names.